This is a long non-coding RNA of Plodia interpunctella (Indianmeal moth), 748 nucleotides long. RefSeq lists it as uncharacterized. The record is from RefSeq and is a predicted model, not a curated record. The transcript has 2 exons. Lineage: Eukaryota; Metazoa; Arthropoda; Insecta; Lepidoptera; Pyralidae.
UACAUUAUGAUGGACUUCGAAAAAACUGCACAUACGUGUGCCAGACAAGUUUUCGAAAAUACUACGAUAAAAGGAUGUAACUUUCAUCUUGGUCAAAUAAUUUAUCGCAAAAUACAAAAGAAUGGUCUUCAAAAACUAUAUGGAAACAAUGAAUCAUUUGCAUUGGAAAUUAAAUGUUUGUAUGCUUUGGCAUUUUUGGAAGAGUCAGAUAUACCAAUAUACUUUGACGAAUGGAAAAUAACAAAAACAUCACCAACAGAACCAAUAGCGACGUGGUUUGAACAAUAUUAUGUGUGGGGUACUUCAACUUCUCCGCCACAAUUUCCACCGGCAAUAUGGAGUACACACCAACUAACCCAAGAAGAUAUACCCAGGACACAAAAUCACGCCGAAGCAUGGCAUAACCGAUUCGCACAUUUCGUGGGGAAACACCAUCCCCAGUUUUAUUAUUUAGCAAGAAAGAUUACCCAAGAGAUAACACACCAAAUCACAGAAAUUGAAAAGAGGCAACUCGGAAUAGCACCACCUAAAAAAAAAAAGAAAUACAGCGAUAAACUGAAGCGUAUUGACAUAAUUAUUAGUCAGAAAAAUGAUUAUACAAGUAAAAUUGAUUUCCUAAAAGCCAUAGCCAGUAAUCUAAACCUCAAAUGAAUGGAUAUAUUAAUAAAUAUAUAUUGCAUGAUAUAUAUUUAAAUUUAAUAAUAUGUAAAAUAUUAAAUGAUUGAAAUAAUAAUAUAUCAUGAUAACU